ACUCAAAUGAAUUGACGGGGACCCGCACAAGCGGUGGAGCAUGUGGUUUAAUUCGACGCAACGCGAAGAACCUUACCUGGGCUAGAAUGCCUCUGACAACCCUAGAGAUAGGGCCUUCUGGGUAAAACCAGACAGAGUGCAAGGUGCUGCAUGGCUGUCGUCAGCUCGUGUCGUGAGAUGUUGGGUUAAGUCCCGCAACGAGCGCAACCCUUAUCAAUAGUUGCCAGCGGUUCGGCCGGGCACUCUAUUGAGACUGCCGUUGACAAAACGGAGGAAGGUGGGGAUGACGUCAAGUCCUCAUGGCCUUUAUGUCCAGGGCUACACACGUGCUACAAUGGCCGACACAAAGCGCUGCAAAAGAGCAAUCUGGAGCCAAUCGCAAAAAGUCGGUCUCAGUUCGGAUUGGAGUCUGCAACUCGACUCCAUGAAGUUGGAAUCGCUAGUAAUCGCAGAUCAGCACGCUGCGGUGAAUACGUUCCCGGGUCUUGUACACACCGCCCGU
This 502-nucleotide ribosomal RNA is filed under the name uncultured bacterium. Its description in RNAcentral is "partial 16S ribosomal RNA". It matches the Rfam family "Bacterial small subunit ribosomal RNA", at positions 899 to 1397 of the family's 1533-position model. The record is from RNAcentral.